AUCUAAGGCCAUACCACCCUGAAUGUACCUGAUCUAGUCUGAUCUUGUUAAGCUAAGGAGGGUUGGGCCUGGUUAGUACUUGGAUGGGAGACUGCCUGGGAAUAUCAGGUGCUGUAGGCU
This 120-nucleotide ribosomal RNA is filed under the name Aotus nancymaae (Ma's night monkey). The record is from RNAcentral. Lineage: Eukaryota; Metazoa; Chordata; Mammalia; Primates; Aotidae.